CCUACGGGAGGCAGCAGUGAGGAAUAUUGCUCAAUGGGCGCGAGCCUGAACCAGCCAAGUCGCGUGAGGGAAGACGGUUCUAUGGAUUGUAAACCUCUUUUGUCGGGGAGCAAAAGACGCCACGCGUGGCGUUCCGAGAGUACCCGACGAAAAAGCAUCGGCAAACUCCGUGCCAGCAGCCGCGGUAAUACGAAGGAUGCGACGGUUAUCCGGAUUUGUUGGGUUAAUAGGGCGCGCGGGCGGUAGAUCAAGUCAGUGGUAAAAUUGAGAGGCUCAACCUCUUCGAGCAGUUGAAACUGGUUUUCUAGAGUGAGUGAGAGGGAUGCGGAAUGCGUGGUGUAGCGGUGAAAUGCAUAGAUAUCGCGCAGAACUCCGGUUGCGAAGGCAGGAUACCGGCGCUCAACUGACGCUCAUGCACGAAAGUGUGGGUAUCGAACAGGAUUAGAUACCCUAGUAGUC
Molecule: ribosomal RNA, 459 nt
Filed under: uncultured bacterium
Lineage: Bacteria
Description: partial 16S ribosomal RNA
Rfam family: Bacterial small subunit ribosomal RNA
Source: RNAcentral